UGUUUACUGAAUAUAAAUUAGUUUCAUCAGCAGAGUGUUUAAUCGUGACGUGAUAACUUGAGAUUUCCCACUAAAACCACUCAAUAAAACAAACUAAAUAUGGAUGGCCAAGGUGAAUUUUGUUGGAAGUGUCACGAAGGAGGAAUAACAUUGAACUGCUCUUCCUGCAUACGAACAUAUCACAUUGACUGUGUGGAGGCCACAAAUAUGACCAACAUCAAAAUUUGGCGUUGCAAAGAUUGCACCACAAUGGAAUCGUCAAAAGACACGCCUGAUGAACUGAAGCGGAUACCAGUCAUAAUUCAUGAACGGCUCAAACGUUUUGAUCAAAAUUUCUUUGAGCACCAAAAGAAGUCGAAACGAUUGAAAUCCG
Long non-coding RNA from Contarinia nasturtii (swede midge), 373 nucleotides. RefSeq lists it as uncharacterized. Lineage: Eukaryota; Metazoa; Arthropoda; Insecta; Diptera; Cecidomyiidae. The transcript has 3 exons. The record is from RefSeq and is a predicted model, not a curated record.